RNAcentral lists this ribosomal RNA (510 nucleotides) under uncultured bacterium. Its description in RNAcentral is "partial 16S ribosomal RNA". It matches the Rfam family "Bacterial small subunit ribosomal RNA", at positions 28 to 507 of the family's 1533-position model. The record is from RNAcentral.
GACGAACGCUGGCGGCGUGCUUAACACAUGCAAGUCGAACGAAGAGCGACGGAAGCUUGCUUCUAUCAAUCUUAGUGGCUAACGGGUUGGUAACGCGUAAGCAACCUGCCCUUCAGAGGGGGACAACAGUUGGAAACGACUGCUAAUACCGCAUACGAUCUAACCUCGGCAUCGAGGAUAUAUGAAAGGUGGCCUCUACAUGUAAGCUAUCACUGAAGGAGGGGAUUUCGUCUGAUUAGCUAGUUGGAGGGGUAACGGCCCACCAAGUCGAUGAUCAGUAGCCGCCCUGCGAGGCGGCAAGGCAACACUGGGACGGAGACACGGCCAAGCCUCCUACGGGAGGCAGCAGUGGGGAACAUUCAGCAAUGGCCGCAAGUCUGACGGAGCAACGCUGCGCGAGUGAUGACGGCCUCAGUGCUGUAUAGCUAUGUUAAGCGUGACGAAAGGAAUUCUUGCGAAUAGUGAGAAGGAUUGACGGUACCGGAAUAGAAAGCCACGGCUAACUACGUG